This 534-nucleotide ribosomal RNA is filed under the name uncultured bacterium. RNAcentral's name for it is "bacterial SSU rRNA". It matches the Rfam family "Bacterial small subunit ribosomal RNA", at positions 1 to 526 of the family's 1533-position model. The record is from RNAcentral.
UUAGAGUUUGAUCAUGGCUCAGGACGAACGCUGGCGGCGUGCUUAACACAUGCAAGUGGUGCGACGAACCAGGGCUUGCCCUGGGGCAAAGCCGCGAACGGGUGAGUAACACGUGAGUAACCUGCCCCGAUGACCGGGACAACCCGAGGAAACUCGGGCUAAUACCGGAUGUGCUCCUUUCACAUCAGUGAAUUGAGUAAAGGUAGCUUCGGCCUCCGCAUCGGGAUGGGCCCGCGGCCCAUUAGCUUGUUGGUGAGGUAACGGCUCACCAAGGCCGCGAUGGGUAGCUGGUCUGAGAGGACGAUCAGCCACACUGGGACUGAGACACGGCCCAGACUCCUACGGGAGGCAGCAGUGGGGAAUCUUGCGCAAUGCGCGAAAGCGUGACGCAGCAACGCCGCGUGGGUGAAGAAGGCCUUCGGGUUGUAAAGCCCUUUCAGGAGGGACGAAGGUUCGGCCGUUAAUAGCGGUCCGGACUGACGGUACCUUCACAAGAAGCCCCGGCUAACUACGUGCCAGCAGCCGCGGUACGCC